Molecule: ribosomal RNA, 253 nt
Filed under: uncultured bacterium
Lineage: Bacteria
Description: partial 16S ribosomal RNA
Rfam family: Bacterial small subunit ribosomal RNA
Source: RNAcentral
GACGAACCGUGCGAACGUUGUUCGGAAUCACUGGGCUUAAAGGGCGUGUAGGCGGGCCAUCAAGUCAGAGGUGAAAUCCCAUGGCUCAACCAUGGAAGUGCACUCGAAACUGCGAAGCUAGAGUCCUGGAGAGGAAGGUGGAAUGCUUGGUGUAGAGGUGAAAUUCGUAGAUAUCAGGAGGAACACCGGUGGCGAAGGCGGCUUCCUGGACAAUUACUGACGCUGAGACGCGAAAGCGUGGGGAGCAAACAGG